GAGUAUGGCCAUACCACCCUGAACGCGGCUGACCUUGUCUGAUCUCAGAAGCUAAGCAGUGUCGGGCCUGGUUAGUACUUGCAUGGGAGGAAUAGAUCUUGAAUUUU
Molecule: ribosomal RNA, 107 nt
Filed under: Papio anubis (olive baboon)
Lineage: Eukaryota; Metazoa; Chordata; Mammalia; Primates; Cercopithecidae
Source: RNAcentral